AUUGAACGCUGGCGGCAGGCCUAACACAUGCAAGUCGAACGGCGCGGCGGACGGGUGAGUAAUGCCUAUGAAUCUGCCUGGUCGUGGGGGAUAACGUUCGGAACCGGGCGCUAAUACCGCAUCCUAUCAGCUUAGCCUAGGUCGGAUUAGCUAGGUGGUGGGGUAAAGGCCUACCAAGGAGACGAUCCGUAACUGGUCUGAGAGGAUGAUCAGUCACACUGGAACUGAGACACGGUCCAGACUCCUACGGGAGGCAGCAGUGGGGAAUAUUGGACAAUGGGCGAAAGCCUGAUCCAGCCAUGCCGCGUGUGUGAAGAAGGUCUUCGGAUUGUAAAGCACUUUAAGUUGGGAGGCGUUACCAGCAGAAGAAGCACCGGCUAACUUCGUGCCAGCAGCCGCGGUAAUAC
Molecule: ribosomal RNA, 407 nt
Filed under: uncultured bacterium
Lineage: Bacteria
Description: partial 16S ribosomal RNA
Rfam family: Bacterial small subunit ribosomal RNA
Source: RNAcentral